This is a long non-coding RNA of Amblyraja radiata (thorny skate), 147 nucleotides long. RefSeq lists it as uncharacterized. Lineage: Eukaryota; Metazoa; Chordata; Chondrichthyes; Rajiformes; Rajidae. The transcript has 3 exons. The record is from RefSeq and is a predicted model, not a curated record.
GGAGAAGGCAGGAAAAUGGGGUUUGGAGGGAGAGAGAGAUCAGCCAUGAUUGAAUGGCGGAGCAGACUUGAUGGGCCGAAUGGCCUAAUUCUGCUCCUAUCGCUUGUGAAACCAUCCCGUGUCUGAGAUGUCAGUGUGUUCGUCACC